UACGAAGGGGGCUAGCGUUGUUCGGAAUUACUGGGCGUAAAGGGCGCGUAGGCGGUGUGUCAAGUCAGGCGUGAAAGCCCCGGGCUCAACCUGGGAACAGCGCUUGAGACUGGCACGCUCGAGUUCGGGAGAGGAUGGUGGAAUUCCCAGUGUAGAGGUGAAAUUCGUAGAUAUUGAGAAGAACACCGAUGGCGAAGGCAGCCAUCUGGACCGACACUGACGCUGAGGCGCGAAAGCGUGGGGAGCAAACAGG
RNAcentral lists this ribosomal RNA (253 nucleotides) under uncultured bacterium. RNAcentral describes it as "partial 16S ribosomal RNA". It matches the Rfam family "Bacterial small subunit ribosomal RNA", at positions 524 to 776 of the family's 1533-position model. The record is from RNAcentral.